Molecule: ribosomal RNA, 418 nt
Filed under: Uncinaria hamiltoni
Lineage: Eukaryota; Metazoa; Nematoda; Chromadorea; Rhabditida; Ancylostomatidae
Description: partial 12S ribosomal RNA
Source: RNAcentral
UUAUGUUUUUAAGUUUUAAAUAAUUAUAGGUUAAAUUUUAAUUGUUAUAAGUGUUUAAUUAUAAUUUUAAAUUUUGUUAAUCGAAUUAGAUUAGUACCUAAUUAGUCAAAAGUUAAAAGAGCAGAAGUAAAGUAGAAUUUAAACUGAAAGAAUAUUGGCAGAUUUUCUAAAUUAUCUUUGGAGGUUGAGUGAUAAUUGAGAACCCUCAUUAACUACUUUUUUAGUGGUCUCAUGUAUGAUCGUUUAUUAUAUGCUUAAGGCAUAUAAUUAAAAAUUUUUAUUUAUAAAAAUAGAUAUAUAUUUGGUUUAUAUAAAAGUAAUAUUUGACCUACAAUAAUUUGUAAUUGUGGAUCUACUUUUUAGCGGAGUAGUGAAAAUGUAAAAGACAGUAAAAAAAUUUUUAUGGUUUUUUGAAGAU